Molecule: ribosomal RNA, 498 nt
Filed under: uncultured bacterium
Lineage: Bacteria
Description: partial 16S ribosomal RNA
Rfam family: Bacterial small subunit ribosomal RNA
Source: RNAcentral
GAUGAACGCUGGCGGCGUGCCUAAUACAUGCAAGUCGAGCGAACAGACUAUGAGCUUGCUCCUCUGACGUUAGCGGCGGACUUGUGAGUAACACGUUGAUAACCUACCUAUAAGACUGGGAUAACUUCGUGAAACCUGAGCUAAUACCGUAUAAUAUAUUGAUCCUCAUUGUUCAAUAGUAAAAGACUGUUUUGCUGUCACUUAUAGAUGGAUCCGCGCCGCAUUUUCUAUUUGGUAAGGGAACGGCUUACCAAUGCGACGAUACGCAGCCGAACUGAGAGGGGGAACGGCCACACAGGGACUGGGACACGGCCCAGACUCCGACGGGAGGCAGCAGGAGGGAAGAUUCGGCAAUGGACGAAAGACUGACAGAGCAAAGAAGAGGGAGAGAAGAAGGUUUUAGGAUCGUAAAGCUAUGUUGUAAGAGAAGAACGGGUGAGAGAGUGGAAAGUUCACACUGGGACGGUAGCUGACCAGAAAGGGACGGAUAACUACGGG